This 68-nucleotide transfer RNA is filed under the name Pseudomonas aeruginosa. RNAcentral's name for it is "tRNA-Ala". It matches the Rfam family "tRNA". From Rfam's summary of the family: Transfer RNA (tRNA) molecules are approximately 80 nucleotides in length. Their secondary structure includes four short double-helical elements and three loops (D, anti-codon, and T loops). The record is from RNAcentral. Lineage: Bacteria; Pseudomonadati; Pseudomonadota; Gammaproteobacteria; Pseudomonadales; Pseudomonadaceae.
GGGGCUAUAGCUCAGCUGGGAGAGCGCUUGCAUGGCAUGCAAGAGGUCGACGGUUCGAUCCCGUCUAG